Molecule: unclassified non-coding RNA, 1288 nt
Filed under: Hevea brasiliensis (rubber tree)
Lineage: Eukaryota; Viridiplantae; Streptophyta; Magnoliopsida; Malpighiales; Euphorbiaceae
Source: RNAcentral
AGGUAAGCCACUAGAACCAGAAGAUACAGGUAAAGGCAAAGGGCUAAUCAAUUGAAUAGCAGUAGAACAUUCAGGUGUUCUCAAGUUAUUCGGUUCCCCAUAUCUCUCAUCAUCAGUAUUGAAGCCUUCAUUUAGAUCAAAUUCCACUUUCGCUUCAAUAUCUGCCCCCCCUACAGCAGAAAAUGAAGCAGCAUCUACAGCACCAGAUGUACUUUCCUCCGCUUCAUCGGCAUCAGUGGCAUUCAACUUUGAUCCUCUACACCUUGCUUCUUGUUCUGGUUCUUGCACAAUUGCAGGUGAUGCCUUGUUGAGAGCUUGAGCACCACUAAGUUGUUCUUUAGGUUGAUUACCUUCUAGACUCUCCUCCAUAGUCUCAACCUUGUGAUCAGUAACAGCUAAACCAAAAUUAUUUUCCUGCGCAUUAUUUCCUUUUUCGGUAUGCUGACUUGCGUCAUCUGUUUCAUCAGCCUUUUCAGCCUUCACCUCCCCAACAACAUUUUCAGAGACAAUAUCUUUACCAGAACCAGUAGGAUGCAGCACAUCCCCAACCCUUCUUUUUGCAAACUCGGAGCAAAUGGUAGCAGGAGGUUUUUGCUCUGCUUUCACGGUAAUGUUCAACUCUUCGUUCAUAUUUUUCAUGUUGUCACCAUCUAUCUCCAUUGACGGGCAAGGCAAUGAUCCUUCUACCGGUGCAGUCCCACCUUCUAAUCUAGAAACAUAACCAUUAUCUUCACUUGGAAUGCAACUAUGCAACUUAUCUUUUGUAUCAGAUACGCCAUCUGCCUUUUCCUCCCAUGUUUCUUUGUCUGCAUUAGUUGAUGUUUUAUCUACUGUGCUUGCAGAGAGCAGAGCCACAGAAGGAACCAGUAAUAUUUCCUCUGAUUUCACAUUUUUUUCUAGGCAAGGUUCAGCAAUUUGGUGCACAUCCAUAUUGGAAGAAGUUGAAUGUCCAUUAAGCACCUCUGCUGGUUUUUCUUCAGAUAAUGAUACAAUUUUAUCCUCUGUGCUCUUGGCCAGUGAAGUACUAGUAACCGCCUUCUCAUUUGCAUCAUCAGCACUAUCAACUGACGGUCUCCGAUCUCGAGCAUGGUUAUCACCUGGAGACGACUUUAGUCUUGAAUCACUGCUUGUGCAGGAGUACUCAACAGCAGUGAUGUUUCUUGGUGGAGAAUGAUUUGGGGAAGCCAUAUCUAAUUUGGACAUCUCCCCAGCAGCCACACUAGCAAGCAGGUUCAUUCCAACAUCAUCCCCGGCUGAAAUGGAGGCAUUUACUUCAGAGUACUUGACA